This 548-nucleotide ribosomal RNA is filed under the name Rhodotorula mucilaginosa. RNAcentral's name for it is "eukaryotic LSU rRNA". It matches the Rfam family "Eukaryotic large subunit ribosomal RNA", at positions 72 to 636 of the family's 3401-position model. Lineage: Eukaryota; Fungi; Basidiomycota; Microbotryomycetes; Sporidiobolales; Sporidiobolaceae. The record is from RNAcentral.
GGAUUCCCCUAGUAGCGGCGAGCGAAGCGGGAAGAGCUCAAAUUUAUAAUCUGGCACCUUCGGUGUCCGAGUUGUAAUCUCUAGAAAUGUUUUCCGCGUUGGACCGCACACAAGUCUGUUGGAAUACAGCGGCAUAGUGGUGAGACCCCCGUAUAUGGUGCGGACGCCCAGCGCUUUGUGAUACAUUUUCGAAGAGUCGAGUUGUUUGGGAAUGCAGCUCAAAUUGGGUGGUAAAUUCCAUCUAAAGCUAAAUAUUGGCGAGAGACCGAUAGCGAACAAGUACCGUGAGGGAAAGAUGAAAAGCACUUUGGAAAGAGAGUUAACAGUACGUGAAAUUGUUGGAAGGGAAACGCUUGAAGUCAGACUUGCUUGCCGAGCAAUCGGUUUGCAGGCCAGCAUCAGUUUUCCGGGAUGGAUAAUGGUAGAGAGAAGGUAGCAGUUUCGGCUGUGUUAUAGCUCUCUGCUGGAUACAUCUUGGGGGACUGAGGAACGCAGUGUGCCUUUGGCGGGGGUUUCGACCUCUUCACACUUAGGAUGCUGGUGGAAUG